This 854-nucleotide long non-coding RNA is filed under the name Homo sapiens (human). Its description in RNAcentral is "HSALNT0355478". The record is from RNAcentral. Lineage: Eukaryota; Metazoa; Chordata; Mammalia; Primates; Hominidae.
AGUUCCGGGCCCGGGCUGCCUCCUUACGCAGAACCUCCCCCGAUCCUGCGUGUCCCGUGCUCCUCUCCGAGACCCCGGUCGCCCCAGCGUCCGCAGCAGUCCUGGAAAAAUGUUUAUUUGUGUAGCAAAGCAGGGAGCGGGGCGGCGGGGCUACUUCUUCUUUUUCUUGGCCGCCUUGAGCUUCCCCUCGAUUAGCCGCUGCGCCUGCCUCUUGAUCUCGGCGCGCGAAGGGACGUAGCUGUGGUCCAUGUCGGGGAACUGGAAGGUGUCUGCGGGCGGAGGCGGCGGCUCGCACACGGGGCUAGCCCAGCUAGGCGCAGCCGCCCGACCCGCCUCUCGCCCCCGCCCUCCACCGACCCGGGCCAGGUGCCUUGCCCCAGGGACAGCCCCAGCGUGCCGGGAGGACUCAGCCCAGCCCAUUCGCAGCGGCUCACGCUGCCCUGCCUAGCCUUUCCCGCAGAACCCCCAGUGGAAGCUCCGGCCCAGGCCUUCACCGCGCUCCUCCCUGCUCCAGCCCUGGUGCCUCUCCUCCGGGCCCGUCUGGCAUGGCAUGCCUCCUCCUUUCGGAGAAAUUAACAAGGUAUUUCAGUGGCUUUAGCCUCCCCAUGGCAUCACUAAGUCACCUCCAUCAAUUAAAGUCCUGCAGGUACAACUGAUGCACCCUGUAGCCCCGCUGUCCCUCCAGGAUGUCCCGGUGGGAUGGGAGCCGGCGCCACCCCGACCUGUGUUCCAGCCACCCGCCUGCAGCCCGGGCCCCAGUUCCGGGGCCUGUACCGAUCAUAUCCUCCUCCCGGUUCUCAAAGCUGAUCCUGGUGUUGUACUUCUCCAUCAGAGUCGAGGACUCCAGGGUGUCC